Entelurus aequoreus (snake pipefish) is the source of this 1381-nucleotide long non-coding RNA. RefSeq lists it as uncharacterized. The transcript is spliced from 3 exons. The record is from RefSeq and is a predicted model, not a curated record. Lineage: Eukaryota; Metazoa; Chordata; Actinopteri; Syngnathiformes; Syngnathidae.
GUACCUGCUGUGCUGUGAGACGCGCUUGAGAAGCAACUCGCAAAAUCUUCUCAUUCUCACACUUUGCAAACUUCAUAAUUAGGUCAGGUUUUUUUCCGGGAAGGAAUACCCGUUGACCCAAACAACCUGAGCUCCCUAUCCACCUUCAAACUCAACUCAACAAAUGGCGAGCUAAACAACUACGCGGUUGUGCUGCUGUCCACCCGUGUGUGUGAUUGCUUCCCUGCGGUGUGGUCCUGUCGCUCCUUAUACUCCCGCUGUUUCAUUGAAGAGACACUGCAACCAAAUGACCUCCUAACUGCCAUGGCGUUGACGGCCAUCGUCAACCCAGACACUGACCAGCUGCCUCGCGUGUGCAGCGAUGGCCCGCGUGUCACGGCGGAGGACACAGCUCUCGCCUCCUGGACAAUGGCCUGUAACCCAUCAGAUCUGAUUUGACGAGUGUGUUUGAAGAUUCUACAUUUAACACAAAAAGAAACAUAUGUUACUUGCAAUAUGGAAAAUUUACAAAAAUUAAUUAAGCUGCAUUAAUUCAAUUGAACUAAAUGUGUCCAUUGUAAGAAAUCAUGUCUGUGUAAGGACGUACCUUGGUCUGCAAUGUUUGGGUCCAAGGAUCAUAUCCCGCGAUUUCAACAAUCUGCUCUUCCAAGAACGACAACUGAACCUGCUGCUCAAUUGGAGAGAGCAGGCACCUCUUCAGCUGGUCCCUCGCCGCCUUCUUUUUGUGUCUUUGAAGCAUGUGGUUGUAUGACAGUUUCCCAUUUCUUUACACAGUCUUUUGCAUUGUCGUUGAACUCUGCGAGAUCUUUGAAGCUGCACUGGUUGGGUAGCAGAGGACAGACAAGGCAGUGCUGCAUCGUAUGGUCCUCUUCUACGCAUUCGCAGGAGGUUGGGCCGGUUUUGUAGCCCCAUCUGGCCAUAGCACCUUUUGAUCGCCCCCUUCCUGUUCUCAGGCGGUUUAGAGUCUUCCACUGGACCCGUGGUGUUUCCGACCCGGGGGGCAGGUCUUAAAUAGGGGGGAUUCCCAUGUCAAUAGGGUCUUUCUCUAGUCUUUGUGUCCAUAGCUGGAGUCUGGUUUCUUCCCAAGAUGUUGUUAGGUGCUGGACAUUGCUGAAGAAGCUUCUCCUAGACUUGGGCUGAGGGUUCACGUCCAUGGAGGAGGUGGCGGCGUUCAUCACUGGGAGCUUUUGUCCCUCGCCUGUUUUAUUUGCAAAGGUUUUGUUGAAGGACAUUUUGUCUUUUGUUCUUCUGCGUAGAUCUUGCCAUCUUGUUUUAAUGUCUUCUACAGAUCUCCUUGUUUUGCUUACAUAAUUACCUUUUUUUGCAAAUCGCCUCCUAUAUCACCUUUCUUCCAGCAGCGCUGAGAUUUCGCUGCUGAAGU